AAAAAGGCGGGAGAAGCCCCG
RNAcentral lists this microRNA (21 nucleotides) under Pongo pygmaeus (Bornean orangutan). RNAcentral describes it as "ppy-miR-4484". Lineage: Eukaryota; Metazoa; Chordata; Mammalia; Primates; Hominidae. The record is from miRBase by way of RNAcentral.